UACGGAGGGGGUUAGCGUUGUUCGGAAUUACUGGGCGUAAAGCGCACGUAGGCGGGCUGUUAAGUCGGGGGUGAAAUCCCGGGGCUCAACCCCGGAACUGCCUUCGAUACUGGCAGCCUUGAGUUCGAGAGAGGUGAGUGGAAUUCCGAGUGUAGAGGUGAAAUUCGUAGAUAUUCGGAGGAACACCAGUGGCGAAGGCGGCUCACUGGCUCGAUACUGACGCUGAGGUGCGAAAGCGUGGGGAGCAAACAGG
RNAcentral lists this ribosomal RNA (253 nucleotides) under uncultured bacterium. RNAcentral describes it as "partial 16S ribosomal RNA". It matches the Rfam family "Bacterial small subunit ribosomal RNA", at positions 524 to 776 of the family's 1533-position model. The record is from RNAcentral.